AUGGCUAAGAGGUGGAACAGUUGGAAGGAGGAAUUCACGCUGUACACGGACCUCACAAUGCCGGAGGCGGAAGAAACGACGAGAGUUAAGUUAUUUAUCUAUCUACUCGGUGAAAGAGGGAGAGAACUUCUGAGAACACUGAUGGGGGGGGGUGCUACAUCAGCGAGAGUUACUGUGAGUUCGAUGAUAAAGCAGUUUGACGACCAUUGCAAUACAAAAGUGAAUGAGACUGUGGAGCGGUACACAUUUUUUGUCAGAGACCAGGGACAAGAUGAAAAUAUCGACAAAUAUGUGACGGACUUAAGAGUUUUGGCCCGUUCAUGUAACUUUGGUGCCAUUCAGGAUUCACCAAUAAGGGAUCGCAUUGUUUGUGGAACAAGUAGCCCUUCCUUGAGGGAGAGACUUUUGAGGGAGGAGGACUUAACACUAGAUAGGUGCAUACAAGUAUGCAGAGCCUCAGAACUGUUGAAAGAAAACAGUAAAACACUCCAGGGCAGAUUGACAGAGGAACUGCAUGCAAUGAAAAUGAGUCCAGGAAGAAAAACAGAGGAGAUUAUUUGCAACUUUUGUGGCAACAGGCAUGUAAAAAAUAAACGAAAGUGCCCAGCAUACGGAAAGAAGAGUAAAAAAUGCGGGAAAGAGAACCACUUUGCAGUGAAAUGUAAAUCGAGACCCGCGAAAGACAAGAAAAGCAGGCCAGUGCUAACAGUUGAGGAUACAAGUGAAUCGGGUGAGGACAUCAUGACAAUAACACACGUCAGUGAACACCAGGAGAUGAUAAAUCAAAUGAAUGAGGCACACAGGAAAAGUCAACACCUCUUUGCAGGGAUGUUGCUGGACAAAAAGCUUGUCAACUUUCAGAUUGACUGUGGUGCUACGUGUAACGUUAUCCCCAUACAAAGGUUGAGCUCAAACACACAACUGGAUAACACGGAGAAGAUACUUGUCAUGUAUAAUAAAAGCAAAAUACGCCCGCUUGGGAAAUGCAAAACCAAACUGCGGAACUCGAGAACUAAUAAACUGUACAAGCUUGAGUUUCAGGUGGUGGAUCAGGAAGACGGAGUCCCCAUAUUGGGCAGGAGGGCAAGCGAAGCCAUGAAACUGAUCAGGGUGCAGUAUGAAAAUAUACUGGCAAUGGACAGUAUAGUGACUACGCAUAACACAAAGUCCCAGAAAGAGAGCAACUAA
This 1188-nucleotide long non-coding RNA is filed under the name Nothobranchius furzeri (turquoise killifish). Its description in RNAcentral is "lncRNA (ENSNFUG00015016089.1)". Lineage: Eukaryota; Metazoa; Chordata; Actinopteri; Cyprinodontiformes; Nothobranchiidae. The record is from RNAcentral.